CUAAGUUUGAUGGCGACCGGCGCACGGGUGAGUAACACGUAUCCAACCUGCCGAUGACUCGGGGAUAGCCUUUCGAAAGAAAGAUUAAUACCCGAUGGCAUAGUUCUUCCGCAUGGUGGAACUAUUAAAGAAUUUCGGUCNUCGAUGGGGAUGCGUUCCAUUAGGUUGUUGGCGGGGUAACGGCCCACCAAGCCUUCGAUGGAUAGGGGUUCUGAGAGGAAGGUCCCCCACAUUGGAACUGAGACACGGUCCAAACUCCUACGGGAGGCAGCAUG
Molecule: ribosomal RNA, 275 nt
Filed under: uncultured bacterium
Lineage: Bacteria
Description: partial 16S ribosomal RNA
Rfam family: Bacterial small subunit ribosomal RNA
Source: RNAcentral